GUAAGGCUCCWRCUUGCUGGGGUACACRAGUGGCGAACGGGUGAGUAACACGUGGGUGACCUGCCCUGCACUUCGGGAUAAGCCUGGGAAACUGGGUCUAAUACCGGAUAGGACYGCACCGUGAGGGUGUGGUGGAAAGUUUUUUCGGUGUGGGAUGGGCCCGCGGCCUAUCAGCUUGUUGGUGGGGUAAUGGCCUACCAAGGCGGCGACGGGUAGCCGGCCUGAGAGGGUGGACGGCCACAUUGGGACUGAGACACGGCCCAGACUCCUACGGGAGGCAGCAGUGGGGAAUAUUGCACAAUGGGCGGAAGCCUGAUGCAGCGACGCCGCGUGGGGGAUGACGGCCUUCGGGUUGUAAACUCCUUUCACCAUCGACGAAGGGUUUCUGACGGUAGAUGGAGAAGAAGCACCGGCUAACUACGUGCCAGCAGCCGCGGUAAUACGUAGGGUGCGAGCGUUGUCCGGAAUUACUGGGCGUAAAGAGCUCGUAGGUGGUUUGUCGCGUCGUCUGUGAAAUUCCGGGGCUUAACUCCGGGCGUGCAGGCGAUACGGGCAUAACUUGAGUACUGUAGGGGAGACUGGAAUUCCUGGUGUAGCGGUGAAAUGCGCAGAUAUCAGGAGGAACACCGGUGGCGAAGGCGGGUCUCUGGGCAGUAACUGAC
This 662-nucleotide ribosomal RNA is filed under the name Corynebacterium amycolatum. RNAcentral's name for it is "bacterial SSU rRNA". It matches the Rfam family "Bacterial small subunit ribosomal RNA", at positions 69 to 744 of the family's 1533-position model. Lineage: Bacteria; Bacillati; Actinomycetota; Actinomycetes; Mycobacteriales; Corynebacteriaceae. The record is from RNAcentral.